UAACGAAUAUUGGGCAAUGGGCGAAAGCCUGACCCAGCGACGCCGCGUGCGGGAGGAAGUCCCUCGGGAUGUAAACCGCUGUCAGGGUGAAGAAAGACCGCAAGGUUUGAUCUAACCCAGAGGAAGCAACGGCUAACUUCGUGCCAGCAGCCGCGGUAAUACGAAGGUUGCAAGCGUUGUUCGGAAUCACUGGGCUUAAAGCGUAUGUAGGCGGAUAAGUAAGCGUUUUGUGAAAUACCUCGGCUUAACCGAGGAAUUGCUUGGCGAACUGCUUAUCUUGAGGCAAAUAGGGGUACAUGGAACUCUUGGUGGAGCGGUGGAAUGCGUAGAUAUCAAGAGGAACGCCAGCGGCGAAAGCGGUGUACUGGAUUUGUCCUGACGCUCAGAUACGAAAGCGUGGGGAGCAAACG
This 410-nucleotide ribosomal RNA is filed under the name uncultured prokaryote. Its description in RNAcentral is "bacterial SSU rRNA". It matches the Rfam family "Bacterial small subunit ribosomal RNA", at positions 355 to 774 of the family's 1533-position model. The record is from RNAcentral.